Corvus hawaiiensis (hawaiian crow) is the source of this 905-nucleotide long non-coding RNA. RefSeq lists it as uncharacterized. The record is from RefSeq and is a predicted model, not a curated record. NCBI's taxonomy places the organism in Eukaryota, Metazoa, Chordata, Aves, Passeriformes, Corvidae. The transcript has 3 exons.
AGCCUGCAGGAGCUGGGACGAGGGAGCAGGCAGCCGGUUCCAACAGCAGGUGUCAGCCUCAGCCCAUGGCAGCAGACAGGAGCGAAGGACAGAGGAGAUGACGGAUUAUCCUCUGUCUCUUGCCUCUCCUCUGCAUGUUGGAAACACUCGAUCUCUGCAAACACCUCAGCAAUCUCUUCCUUCAGCCUCUGCAAAAGAAAUAUCAGGAAGAUGAAGGCAGUGGAGGGAAAAACAGCAGACACACAGAGCAUGUCUUACUCAUGUCUAUUGUCACUCAAGACUGGAAAAAUCAACCUUAAUCAGUGUGACAUUUUAGGAGGCACUGGAGAAAUGGUUGGGUCUGCUAAAAGAAAAGAAGAAAAGCAAGUUCAGCCACAGAAACUUGUGUGGAAGGUCCUGCCAUGAGAUGUCUUCGAAGAGACAGGAUCCUUCAUGGAGGACUUGUUAGAGGUCCCCAAAGCAAACAAAAGUUUGAUAAACACAGGGGGAUGCUGCAGGUAACCAGGACUGAUAUGUCAUUAGCAGGUAACCAGUAAUUAAAAAGAAUCAUAAAUGCUGAGCCUGAUGCCUGCCAGUAUGACUUACUGAAGACAUUUCUUUAAUCCCAAGUAUGCAAUCCCAGCUCAUCCCUGCUCAUAAUCUGAUCAGCCUUUCUCAAGUAUCCCAUUAGGGCAGCUGAUGAUUCCUGCAGCAGAGAGCACCACAGGCUGGAUGCACCCUGGUGGCAAAUAGGCCAGGGCAGCCUGAAGUUUAAAACUGAGGUUGGAUCAUGACAGAGAAAAUGUCUCCUGUGCAAGAGCGCUUCUGCAUGGCCUGGACUGUUGUUAUGUGAGGAUGCUCCUUGGUGAAGACAGAUUUGGGAAGGCUAGGCAGGCACGAGGGACCAGAUGGUCCUUACCUUAAUA